AGAGCGAACGCUGGCGGCAGGCUUAACACAUGCAAGUCGAGCGCCCUCUUCGGAGGGAGCGGCGGACGGGUGAGUAACACGUGGGAACGUGCCCUUCGGUUCGGAAUAACUCAGGGAAACUUGAGCUAAACACCGGAUACGCCCUUCGGGGGAAAGGUUACGCCGAUGGAGCGGCCCGCGUUGGAUUAGCUAGUUGGUGAGGUAAAGGCUCACCAAGGCUACGAUCCAUAGCUGGUCUGAGAGGAUGAUCAGCCACACUGGGACUGAGACACGGCCCAGACUCCUACGGGAGGCAGCAGUGGGGAAUCUUGCGCAAUGGGCGAAAGCCUGACGCAGCCAUGCCGCGUGAGUGAUGAAGGCCUUAGGGUUGUAAAACUCUUUCAGCGGGGACGAUAAUGACGGUACCCGCAGAAGAAGCCCGGCUAACUUCGUGCCAGCAGCCGC
This 444-nucleotide ribosomal RNA is filed under the name uncultured bacterium. Its description in RNAcentral is "SSU rRNA". It matches the Rfam family "Bacterial small subunit ribosomal RNA", at positions 26 to 518 of the family's 1533-position model. The record is from RNAcentral.